GUGAACUGUUGGGCAAUGAAACUAUUUUUAAAAAAAAAAUUUUAAAAUUUUUGUUUUUAGUUUUUUGUAUAAUAAUUUUUGAAAUUUGAUAAAUAUAAUUUUCGGGUUUGGGUUUUCGCGUUUAGAAUCGGGUUUUGGGUUUUUGGUCGGAUUCGGAUUCGGAUUUUCGGUUUCGGAUUUUGGAUUUUUAAUCAGGUUCGGGUUUAGAUAUGGAUUUUUAAAAUUCGUCGGGUUCGAGUUCGGAUUCGGGUUUAGAUUUUGAAUUUGAUAGUCAGAUUCAGAUUUGAAUUUUUAAAAAUCCGUCCCGAAUCCGACCCCUUGACAUCCUAAUCCAUACUACCAAAACGUCUCU
This 352-nucleotide long non-coding RNA is filed under the name Ananas comosus (pineapple). RNAcentral describes it as "long non-coding RNA (ACOM_LNC019629)". Lineage: Eukaryota; Viridiplantae; Streptophyta; Magnoliopsida; Poales; Bromeliaceae. The record is from RNAcentral.